Molecule: ribosomal RNA, 447 nt
Filed under: uncultured bacterium
Lineage: Bacteria
Description: partial 16S ribosomal RNA
Rfam family: Bacterial small subunit ribosomal RNA
Source: RNAcentral
CCAGACUCCUACGGGAGGCAGCAGUGGGGAAUAUUGCACAAUGGGCGAAAGCCUGAUGCAGCAACGCCGCGUGAGCGAUGAAGGCCUUCGGGUCGUAAAGCUCUGUCCUCAAGGAAGAUAAUGACGGUACUUGAGGAGGAAGCCCCGGCUGACUACGUGCCAGCAGCCGCGGUAAUACGUAGGGAGCAAGCGUUGUUCGGAAUGACUGGGCGUAAAGGGUGCGUAGGCGGUUGUACAAGUUAGAAGUGAAAUACCCAGGGCUUAACUCGGGUGCUGCUUCUAAAACUGUAUGACUUGAGUGCAGUAGAGGUUAGUGGAAUUCCUAGUGUAGCGGUGGAAUGCGUAGAUAUUAGGAGGAACACCAGAGGCGAAGGCGGCUAACUGGACUGCAACUGACGCUGAGGCACGAAAGUGUGGGGAGCAAACAGGAUUAGAUACCCGGGUAGU